ACGCGAUGUGAUCGAGGCGGAAAGAUGCUGUCAGGAUGGAAGGACUUUUGAAGGAUGGAAGGACUUCAUUGCUGACCCUGCGAUGUCUUCUUCGCUGUCGGUUGCCGGAUUGCCCCGAGGACCCGGCCAGAAAAUUGCAUUUAGCCCGACCUUAUAUAGACGCCCACUAACCGAAACAUUUUGUUAAGAACCGCUUCAGUAAUUCUAGUUGUAACUCCAAUAUUUGUCUGUAGUUUGAUUGGCAUUUAGUU
Molecule: non-coding RNA, 251 nt
Organism: Drosophila bipectinata
Lineage: Eukaryota; Metazoa; Arthropoda; Insecta; Diptera; Drosophilidae
Source: RefSeq, a predicted model, not a curated record